CCAAUGUAAACUACUGGUGCAGUUUUGGGUUUUUCUUUGGAAAGUCUUCCUGUUAAAGGGAAGCUCUUUGGGGGUUUUUUUUGUGGGUUUUUUUUUUCUCCAGUGUUACCACAGGAAUCCUCAAUAUGAGGAUUUAGCUGAUUUUGCUUUAGUCUAUUUGAUUAACCAAUGUAAACUACUGGUGCAGUUUUGGGUUUUUCUUUGGAAAGUCUUCCUGUUAAAGGGAAGGUUUUCCUUAACUGUCACCUCAUUGAGCCUCAAUAUGAGGCAUUGCUCAAGUUUAGGUAACUUAACUGUUUGAAAACUGUUUAAUUUUUUAUUUUAUUUUUUUCUAGAAAGUCUUCCUGUUAAAGGGAAGGUUGUCCUAUACACUGUACUACAUGCAUGUUCAGUCUAAGGCAUUGUCUAAGCUUAAUUUUGUAGCUUUUAACUAAUUUCAACAAUUAAAGUAUUUAUAUUCUUGGAAAAAAAAUUAAAAGGGAAGUUUUUAUUUUUCACUGUUGCCACAUGGUGCCUCAGUGAGGGGCUUUGCUUUAAAUCCCAGCUUUUCACAAAUAUUUGAUAACUAAAUUUUUUUUGUUUUUGGGAACUCUUCUUGUUAAAGGGAAGCUUCCUCUCCACAUGCAUCCAUAGUAAAUCUGUGGUGAUGGGGAAUAGUUUUGAGCUCAUGGUUGGGGAAUUUAAGGCCUUGUCAACACCGCAUGGUAUCUGGACUGAAGAUAUGGAAACUGAACAACCGUUUUUGUUGAGAUGGAGACUGUGCAGACAUGCGAUGGCUUCAGACAUUUAGGAAAUCUGGAUAUCAAAUGUGUUCUACAGUGAUGGAGAGUAGUUUUGAGUUCAUGGUUGGGAAAUUUAAGGUCUUGUUGACGCCACAUGGUAUUUGGACUGAGAAGCUAUGGAAAUUGAUCAACCAUUAUUGAGACUCUGCAGACAUGAUGGUCUCAGACUUUUGGGAAAUGUGGAUAUCAAAAUGGUCGCCAUGGUACUGGACUUUGAACCCAACAUUGGAAAAUGUGGCUUGUUUCUUGAUGCAGCCACUCCUCAGGAAUUUGAAGUCAUUGGAUGAGUUCAAGGAAAUUGGUAAACUAGUGCAACAAAGCGGUCAAGCCAUUACACGGAGGAAAAUCGGUAUGUGAAAGAUGGCUGUUCUGAUCAUUGGUAUGGUAACUGGAAUGGACUUUGGAUUCACUCGGCGCAUAAACACGGUAGGCUAUAUAAAAUGCAGGUGUUCUGAUUUUGGGUACAGCAAUCAGAACAGAUCUUGGAGACGCAGGAAAAACACGGUAGGAUAUAUGAAAUGUAUGUGUUCUGAACAUGAAUAUGGUAACUGGAAUGGAUUUUGGAUUAACUUCUGAUCUUGGGUAAUGUUUGAAAUGCAUGUUAUGUCAAAGUAUUGGAAAUGUGUGUAAAAUGCUUCAUCACUUCAGAUGACACCCCCGGACUACACGUGAGAACGACGGGACGGAAAAUGCCAUCAACGAACAGAAAAGGCUUUCUUCACCCCUCAUUAAGGUCGUCUCUGGUGAUGGAUGACCUUAAUGACCCCCACCACAGGGCUGAGCAGUCUUCCAUGAGGUAUUCUCCUGGAUUCUCCCGUCUUAAUCGACCCUCUGACAGAUGGAAAAGGCCUUCUUGGCCCCCCGACCCUUGCUGAUGGAUGACCUUAGUGAGCCUACCACUGAUCUAAACAACUUUUCUCAAGGAAUGCUGCAGGAAUCCUCCUGGACCAUCUUUUUCCAUCUGACUUCACCCUUCAUCAACCGGAGAAGUUCAUCAUUCUCCUGAACAUCGGACAGAAGAGGACUUCACCCCCCAUUGGAUGACCUUAGUGACCCUACCAUUGACCUCAACAGCCUUUCUUUUUUACAGCAGGAAUCAUCCUGGAUCAUCUUUUCAUCUGAUUUUGCCAUUCAUCACCAGGCCCCAACCACAGAUGGAAAUGGAUUUCAUCGCCAUGGACAGAAGGAGAACUUUGUUUAUAGACUCUUUGCAGACUUCAUUUUAUUUGUUUUGGAUAUUUAAAAUGUUUUCCAGUGUUAAAUGUUAGAAUCCAUUGUUUAUCAGUCUGUUAGAAUGUGUUUUUGCAUUUUUAUGGACCACCACAUUAUUUAUUUCAACUAUUUGUUUAUUCUCUCCAUAGAAGCUACACUUGAUUUGGUGUUAUUAUUGGCUGUGGUC
Molecule: long non-coding RNA, 2181 nt
Organism: Poeciliopsis prolifica (blackstripe livebearer)
Lineage: Eukaryota; Metazoa; Chordata; Actinopteri; Cyprinodontiformes; Poeciliidae
Exons: 4
Source: RefSeq, a predicted model, not a curated record